This 2537-nucleotide ribosomal RNA is filed under the name Staphylococcus aureus. RNAcentral's name for it is "bacterial LSU rRNA". It matches the Rfam family "Bacterial large subunit ribosomal RNA", at positions 113 to 2648 of the family's 2925-position model. The record is from RNAcentral. Lineage: Bacteria; Bacillati; Bacillota; Bacilli; Caryophanales; Staphylococcaceae.
UCCAAAUGGGGAAACCCAGCAUGAGUUAUGUCAUGUUAUCGAUAUGUGAAUACAUAGCAUAUCAGAAGGCACACCCGGAGAACUGAAACAUCUUAGUACCCGGAGGAAGAGAAAGAAAAUUCGAUUCCCUUAGUAGCGGCGAGCGAAACGGGAAGAGCCCAAACCAACAAGCUUGCUUGUUGGGGUUGUAGGACACUCUAUACGGAGUUACAAAGGACGACAUUAGACGAAUCAUCUGGAAAGAUGAAUCAAAGAAGGUAAUAAUCCUGUAGUCGAAAAUGUUGUCUCUCUUGAGUGGAUCCUGAGUACGACGGAGCACGUGAAAUUCCGUCGGAAUCUGGGAGGACCAUCUCCUAAGGCUAAAUACUCUCUAGUGACCGAUAGUGAACCAGUACCGUGAGGGAAAGGUGAAAAGCACCCCGGAAGGGGAGUGAAAUAGAACCUGAAACCGUGUGCUUACAAGUAGUCAGAGCCCGUUAAUGGGUGAUGGCGUGCCUUUUGUAGAAUGAACCGGCGAGUUACGAUUUGAUGCAAGGUUAAGCAGUAAAUGUGGAGCCGUAGCGAAAGCGAGUCUGAAUAGGGCGUUUAGUAUUUGGUCGUAGACCCGAAACCAGGUGAUCUACCCUUGGUCAGGUUGAAGUUCAGGUAACACUGAAUGGAGGACCGAACCGACUUACGUUGAAAAGUGAGCGGAUGAACUGAGGGUAGCGGAGAAAUUCCAAUCGAACCUGGAGAUAGCUGGUUCUCUCCGAAAUAGCUUUAGGGCUAGCCUCAAGUGAUGAUUAUUGGAGGUAGAGCACUGUUUGGACGAGGGGCCCCUCUCGGGUUACCGAAUUCAGACAAACUCCGAAUGCCAAUUAAUUUAACUUGGGAGUCAGAACAUGGGUGAUAAGGUCCGUGUUCGAAAGGGAAACAGCCCAGACCACCAGCUAAGGUCCCAAAAUAUAUGUUAAGUGGAAAAGGAUGUGGCGUUGCCCAGACAACUAGGAUGUUGGCUUAGAAGCAGCCAUCAUUUAAAGAGUGCGUAAUAGCUCACUAGUCGAGUGACACUGCGCCGAAAAUGUACCGGGGCUAAACAUAUUACCGAAGCUGUGGAUUGUCCUUUGGACAAUGGUAGGAGAGCGUUCUAAGGGCGUUGAAGCAUGAUCGUAAGGACAUGUGGAGCGCUUAGAAGUGAGAAUGCCGGUGUGAGUAGCGAAAGACGGGUGAGAAUCCCGUCCACCGAUUGACUAAGGUUUCCAGAGGAAGGCUCGUCCGCUCUGGGUUAGUCGGGUCCUAAGCUGAGGCCGACAGGCGUAGGCGAUGGAUAACAGGUUGAUAUUCCUGUACCACCUAUAAUCGUUUUAAUCGAUGGGGGGACGCAGUAGGAUAGGCGAAGCGUGCGAUUGGAUUGCACGUCUAAGCAGUAAGGCUGAGUAUUAGGCAAAUCCGGUACUCGUUAAGGCUGAGCUGUGAUGGGGAGAAGACAUUGUGUCUUCGAGUCGUUGAUUUCACACUGCCGAGAAAAGCCUCUAGAUAGAAAAUAGGUGCCCGUACCGCAAACCGACACAGGUAGUCAAGAUGAGAAUUCUAAGGUGAGCGAGCGAACUCUCGUUAAGGAACUCGGCAAAAUGACCCCGUAACUUCGGGAGAAGGGGUGCUCUUUAGGGUUAACGCCCAGAAGAGCCGCAGUGAAUAGGCCCAAGCGACUGUUUAUCAAAAACACAGGUCUCUGCUAAACCGUAAGGUGAUGUAUAGGGGCUGACGCCUGCCCGGUGCUGGAAGGUUAAGAGGAGUGGUUAGCUUCUGCGAAGCUACGAAUCGAAGCCCCAGUAAACGGCGGCCGUAACUAUAACGGUCCUAAGGUAGCGAAAUUCCUUGUCGGGUAAGUUCCGACCCGCACGAAAGGCGUAACGAUUUGGGCACUGUCUCAACGAGAGACUCGGUGAAAUCAUAGUACCUGUGAAGAUGCAGGUUACCCGCGACAGGACGGAAAGACCCCGUGGAGCUUUACUGUAGCCUGAUAUUGAAAUUCGGCACAGCUUGUACAGGAUAGGUAGGAGCCUUUGAAACGUGAGCGCUAGCUUACGUGGAGGCGCUGGUGGGAUACUACCCUAGCUGUGUUGGCUUUCUAACCCGCACCACUUAUCGUGGUGGGAGACAGUGUCAGGCGGGCAGUUUGACUGGGGCGGUCGCCUCCUAAAAGGUAACGGAGGCGCUCAAAGGUUCCCUCAGAAUGGUUGGAAAUCAUUCAUAGAGUGUAAAGGCAUAAGGGAGCUUGACUGCGAGACCUACAAGUCGAGCAGGGUCGAAAGACGGACUUAGUGAUCCGGUGGUUCCGCAUGGAAGGGCCAUCGCUCAACGGAUAAAAGCUACCCCGGGGAUAACAGGCUUAUCUCCCCCAAGAGUUCACAUCGACGGGGAGGUUUGGCACCUCGAUGUCGGCUCAUCGCAUCCUGGGGCUGUAGUCGGUCCCAAGGGUUGGGCUGUUCGCCCAUUAAAGCGGUACGCGAGCUGGGUUCAGAACGUCGUGAGACAGUUCGGUCCCUAUCCGUCGC